CUCGGACCGCGCGGACUCUUGAAGGUCAGCACUUUGAGUUAUGGGUGUGAUACAGGAAGGGAAAACUCCUCCUUUCCUUCCCUUAGGUGUAUCUUCCUAGAAAUUGACAGAAAAAUGGGAAUCUGGCACAUUCGUGUAUCUGAUACACUUUUUGAAAGCAAAGAAGUGUCACCGAAUGAGCAGGUGGCUCAGAGAGCACGAGUUUCUCCGGUUUUGCAGAUAAGGAAGCGGGUUUGGUCCUAAUGGAACCGGCCCAGUCCCCCCGCACUCCCUUGCUUACCCGCCUCGCUCCCGCCCCUCCCCCCCUCGUUCUUUGCCCUUGCCUCACUCACUCCAGCCGUUGCACUAUUUUUAUCUGGUGGCUUAGGACUUGAAACAAUGCAUUAAAAACGGCAGAGCUGGGAGAGCUAACCCCACUUUCGCCAGCAAGUGAGGGUGUGUCUUUAGCGAGUUGCUUCAUCUCUUGGGAAGCGGGGAGUGCAACAGGGGCUAACCGCAGGUGCACCCCGAGGCAGCGGGACUUGUGUGUUAUGUGCGUGGAAGGCAGGUCUGCUCCACCGCUGUCCUUUGCUGAGCCUUGAUAAAGUGCGAGCUCUACUCAAAGCCCAAGCUCGGUUCCUACGCCCCACUGCUGUCAAAGCUGAGUCCAAAAACCUGCACGUUCUCACGCCCCCCUAUCCCCCCCCCCAGACCUUGCCUGCCCUCAAUCAAAGGGAGUGAUUGAUACUACUUGCACGUGGUGGUUAAGACCACAGUUUCCACUACCAACAGAGAUGGUUUUCAAAGUCUGGUGGUGGAAUUGAAGCCUUCAAAAGAGGGACUAAUCAGAAGCCCGAUAUGUAAAGCAGUGGAGGCUGGAAUGCAUCGAGUGGCCUGGCUCCGCAGGGGACAGUUUGAAAAUCUCUGGCCUGUAGGAUAAAGGUUCCCUCGUGAGACCACAGUUAAAUGUUGGCCAGGGCUGCAGUCACCACUGCUGCUGGAGGAUUCCCUGCUGAGAUGGCUUAGUCACCUGACUGGCCUGUCAUUCAUUGGAUUCUCUGGCCUCUGAUCCAAGUCUUGAACCCACAUGCAACGGGAUGGCAAGAAGUCUGAUUUGAGCACAUGUUCCUCACCUCCUAAGAGCUUGGGUGAAGUUUCUCUGCCUAAGAGCCUACUGCAUCCCAGAGAAUAGAGCUGCCCCCUCAAGUCCCUGGGCACCGACUUCCCAGCCUGACCGCUGUUCAGCCCAGCUCUUGUGAUGCAGCGCAGAGGGCGACACGAUUCUCAGGAGCCAGAGCCUGGAACAGCUGCCAGGCAAGGCCUCCUUUCAUUGGCUGUUCCCCUCCCGUGGAUAUGAGGGGCUUCUCCGAGCUUGUAGACACUGGCGGCGUCCUUGUGAUCAUCAUCUCGAACAAAGGAGCAACAAGUCCGGAGCAGAGUUGCUGGGAUGAGAUCAGAGCAUGACAUUGCUUGUACCUGUUGAUCAAAAUCACAGGGUCAGCACAGCAUCUGCUCAGUCCUCUCGAGGCCCAGUUCGCUUACCAGAAGAGGUACACCUGAAAAGCUUCAUUGAAUUACUGAGCAUGAGGUAUGAAUUCAGGUCAUGGGGCCUAUGCAAUUCGGGGGAACCCUUUAAGGGAAAGACUACAAAAUGACCAUGGGAACACAAGGCCAAGUUUCUUCCUCCCGCCUUGGAAUAAUCCCAGACAAGGGAGGGUUUCUGAAGUUUAUGCUCCACUCACUUCAUUGAAAACCCAUCUCUGCUUCAAAUAUGGUUGGCUCCAUGAAAUAAACUAGAAACUCAAAUUAACAGUGGCAUAAACAGGAUAGGAAUGUAUUUCUCUCUCACGUAAUAGUCCAGAGAUAGACACUUGGCUGCAUCGUGCAAGGUUCCUUCUAUAUAUCUUGUUACUCUGUCAUUCCUAGCAUGUUGCCCUUGGCACCAAGUUCCUUGUCCAGGCAGCUGGAUUGAGGAAGGGCUGGAAGAAGGGGCUUGCUCUGGACUGAGGAACAUGCUCUGCAAAGAACAUUUAGAGCUGCUUCUUCCAUCGCAUUGGCCAGAAUUUAGUUAGAUGGCCUCCUUUAGCUGCUGGGCAACUCGAGAAAGGAAGGCUGUAUUCUAGGUGGUCAGGUACCUCAGCUCAAUGUCAAGGCUUUUAUUAUUGUAGAAGAGGAAGAUCAG
Aethalodelphis obliquidens (Pacific white-sided dolphin) is the source of this 2161-nucleotide long non-coding RNA. RefSeq lists it as uncharacterized. Lineage: Eukaryota; Metazoa; Chordata; Mammalia; Artiodactyla; Delphinidae. The transcript is spliced from 6 exons. The record is from RefSeq and is a predicted model, not a curated record.